UAUAUAUAGUUUUAUUAGAUUAUAUGCAAUGCAAGCAAUAACAAAAUUUGUUUACUUAUGUUACGUCUGGUUUGGGCAUAAAUAAGAACUGUCUAUUCUAGUGAUAGAUACAAGUUCAGGUAUAAGCAGGAAUUAGAUCAAUUUUACGUUUGUAUGAAAAUUAGGUUGUUUCUGUGAAUAAGGUAAAUAGUGUUUGGAUGGUUAUAUUGGAAUAAGGGGAGACAAGAGUUAUAAUUUUAAAUUAAAAAUAUUUUAUCUAAUUAAUUAACAUCAAAAUAUUAAUUCAAACUAAUUUAAUAAAUUAAUAAAUUUAUUAGCUUGUUCCAGA
Molecule: long non-coding RNA, 328 nt
Filed under: Ananas comosus (pineapple)
Lineage: Eukaryota; Viridiplantae; Streptophyta; Magnoliopsida; Poales; Bromeliaceae
Description: long non-coding RNA (ACOM_LNC013536)
Source: RNAcentral